Molecule: small RNA, 176 nt
Rfam family: Listeria sRNA rli28
AUUAUCUUGAUAUAAUAAAGGAGUAGAAAGUUAAGACGGUGGCUAUCUUUGAAAGGUGGUGGUGCUUAUGGAAAUAAGUGCUGAAAUCUCAGAAAGGAGAAGCCUUUUGUCAGUGACAGAAUCUUUACAAUUCAUGAUUGGUUUUGGAAGUCUUUUAAUUUUCUUAAUUAGUCUAG